UAUUGAUUUGACUUAAACAUACUUACCUUAUCCCUCACCUAAUUAUACAGUAGUUUCUUCUCUCUCUGUCUCUCUCUCUCUCUGUCUCUCUCUCUCUCUCACACACACACACACACAUGUUCCCAUUCAGAGGAAUUUUUUCAUGUUGGGCAAAAACGUUUGGGGGGAGGUUACACAUGGGGCAAUGGGGCAAAACAGAACAGUCUGACCUUAGGUACCAUCAUGCUGGAAAAGGAGGUGGUUCAGCCCUUGCUCCCAUUGCAGGUGAUGGAGAGAAACCAUGGCAACUAAGGACUGGUCACACACUAUUGCUACCUGGGUGAGCAGAGGACCUCCAGCCCCUGGCAAAUCUGGAGGUCACACAGCUGGCAGACAUCUGUGCCCUGGGGCAUGUUCCAUUUCUCCUCACUUUGCCAACCUCAGCCUGCUGCUGCUGCUACUGCUGGUGGUUGUGGUAGUGGGUAAACCCAGCCCAGGUGGUGAAGACUUACCCCAGUGUGAGAUUCCUCUGCCAUAGAGGAUAUGGCUAGCAGAAAUAAUUGCAGCUCCCUGACUAUCCUCAGCGUUAGGGAUGGCACCUGCUGGUAAGUACUCCCUUUGCCCAGUAAAUGCCCAGUCAGAAGACCCUCUCUGUGGCUAGAACUGGCACCUCUAUCCCUGGCUCCCUCCUUUUCCAGGUGACAUAAUCCCAUUGCAUGGGAGGGUUCUAUAUAUUGGGGUGCAUAUGUUUGGUUGGUAAUAUUCCACUCCUGGUUAAAGCUUGCAAAUAAGAUAAAGAAGGUAGCUUACCAACACCAUCAUACAGGCAUUAAGGUGGCACAGAAGAAGAGAGAAGGAACCCCAGGGAUGCUAACUCCUGUUGCCUCUGUGCCAGGGGAAAGAGAGAUGGCCAAGGGUGAUUGUGGCUUCUGGAUUCAUGUCCAUAAGCUCAUAGAAUGUCAAGGAAUGGAAGACAUCAUCUGAGUGAACUAAUUUUACAGAUGGGGAAACUGAGAUUCAGAGAAGGGAAGUAGGGACUAAGAUUAGAGCACAAGUCUUCUUCCUUCCAGUACAGAAGUUUUUUCACUACAUCCUGCUGGGACAGCUCGUAGUCAUCAAAAUCAUGACAUCAGGAAUGCCUAUCUUUAGCCCCCCUUUAC
RNAcentral lists this long non-coding RNA (1139 nucleotides) under Phascolarctos cinereus (koala). Its description in RNAcentral is "lncRNA (ENSPCIG00000016109.2)". The record is from RNAcentral. Lineage: Eukaryota; Metazoa; Chordata; Mammalia; Diprotodontia; Phascolarctidae.